Cinara cedri is the source of this 202-nucleotide non-coding RNA. Lineage: Eukaryota; Metazoa; Arthropoda; Insecta; Hemiptera; Aphididae. The record is from the annotation of a GenBank genome assembly.
CUGAACACAAUAUAAACCGGUGCAAUCGAAAAACGAUUCUGACUAGUAACCUGGUAAUUAUUAUUAGUCGUGUGUUGCGUAUAUAUUUUGCGAUCACAAUAACCGAUAAAUAUAUGAGAAUAAAACCCAUUCAUCUUCAUUACGUAGUUGGUUUUUUUUUUUUUUUUUUUUAUUAAGAAAACCCAUUCAUAUAAUGUACCCC